CGGGUACAUCCUCACCCCGGCGGGGGCCAGAGUCGUGGUAAUACUGGCGCUGGCCAGCAGGGAGCAGAGGGCACCGGCGAGCAGAGAGACUCGCAGCAGCAGAACAGGGAGCGAGUGAUCCAGUCGUUGGAGGGAGCUCAACAGGGGUCAGAGGGGCGUGGCCUAUCUCUGGGGCUGCACCAACUUCCUGUCCGCCCUGUCACUCAGAACGGCAAACACACCGCCGCCGUCGCCGCGGCUACCGGCGUCGCCAACGCUUACGCUCUGACCAGUCCUCUCCAGAUCCUGGCAGCCCAGGCCUCCAGCUCCCCCAGUCCUGGUGAGCAGACAGCCCAGCGCGGGGCCUGAUAUUGGGCCGGAGGUGCCAGGCGACCCCCAGGCUAAGAGGCCUAAGAUGGAGGAGGACGAGGCGGCUCCUCCCCCCAUUCAGCAGCCAGUCAUCGUGGCCAUGAGUUCUCAGCCACACGACAACAGAAUGUAGAACUGCUGAACUCUAACCCCCUGACCUGGUGUCUAGAGGAGGAGGAGGAGGAGGAGCCUCUCUGGGUGAACCAUCUCACCAGUCUGACCCCUGGGUCCCAGUGUCUGCUGGUUCACCCUCUGACCCCUGGGUCCCAGUGUCUGCUGGUUCACCCUCUGACCCCUGGGUCCCAGUGUCUGCUGGUUCACCCUCUGACCCCUGGGUCCCCCAGGUGUCACCUAGUAGAUAAAGGCUUGUGUCCCAUACUGUUUGAGACCAGAGCCCUACUCCCAACAUAGUGUACUGCCUCAGACCAGAGCCCUACUCCCAACAUAGUGUACUGCCUCAGACCAGAGCCCUACUCCCAACAUAGUGUACUGCCUCAGACCAGAGCCCUACUCCCAACAUAGUGUACUGCUUCAGACCAGAGCCCUACUCCCAACAUAGUGUACUGCCUCAGACCAGAGCCCUACUCCCAACAUAGUGUACUGCCUCAGACCAGAGCCCUACUCCCAACAUAGUGUACUGCUUCAGACCAGAGCCCUACUCCCAACAUAGUGUACUGCCUCAGACCAGAGCCCUACUCCCAACAUAGUGUACUGCCUCAGACCAGAGCC
Long non-coding RNA from Oncorhynchus keta (chum salmon), 1077 nucleotides. RefSeq lists it as uncharacterized. NCBI's taxonomy places the organism in Eukaryota, Metazoa, Chordata, Actinopteri, Salmoniformes, Salmonidae. The record is from RefSeq and is a predicted model, not a curated record. The transcript is spliced from 3 exons.